UUUAACGGCCGCGGUAUUCUGACCGUGCAAAGGUAGCGCAAUCACUUGUCUUUUAAAUGAAGACCUGUAUGAAUGGCACAACGAGGGCAUAGCUGUCUCCUCUCCCCAGUCAAUGAAAUUGAUCUCCCCGUGCAGAAGCGGGGAUUCCACCAUAAGACGAGAAGACCCCAUGAAGCUUCAGACACUAGAAAGCCCACAAUAAAUAGCCCCGCACUAACAAGAAGAACAUUAUGGCCCUUCCCUUCUGUCUUUGGUUGGGGCGACCACGGAGGAAAAAAGAGCCUCCCUGUGGACUAAGAGCACUACUCUUACAACUAAGACUAACACCUCUAAGUAACAGAACUUCUGACCUAUUUGACCCGGCUUACGCCGAUCAACGAACUGAGUUACCCUGGGGAUAACAGCGCAAUCC
This 412-nucleotide ribosomal RNA is filed under the name Zaphotias pedaliotus. RNAcentral's name for it is "16S ribosomal RNA". It matches the Rfam family "Bacterial large subunit ribosomal RNA", at positions 1923 to 2488 of the family's 2925-position model. The record is from RNAcentral. Lineage: Eukaryota; Metazoa; Chordata; Actinopteri; Stomiiformes; Gonostomatidae.